GAGUAAUGCGUGACCAACCUGCCCCAUGCUCCAGAAUAGCUCUUGGAAACGGGUGGUAAUGCUGGAUGCUCCAACUUGACGCAUGUCUUGUUGGGAAAGUGUUUAGUGGCAUGGGAUGGGGUCGCGUCCUAUCAGCUUGUAGGCGGGGUAAUGGCCCACCUAGGCUUCGACGGGUAGCCGGCCUGAGAGGGCGGACGGCCACAUUGGGACUGAGAUACGGCCCAGACUCCUACGGGAGGCAGCAGC
RNAcentral lists this ribosomal RNA (246 nucleotides) under uncultured Gardnerella sp. RNAcentral's name for it is "partial 16S ribosomal RNA". It matches the Rfam family "Bacterial small subunit ribosomal RNA", at positions 108 to 355 of the family's 1533-position model. Lineage: Bacteria; Bacillati; Actinomycetota; Actinomycetes; Bifidobacteriales; Bifidobacteriaceae. The record is from RNAcentral.